GGGUUGUGAGGUUAAGCGACUAAGCGUACACGGUGGAUGCCCUGGCAGUCAGAGGCGAUGAAGGACGUGCUAAUCUGCGAUAAGCGUCGGUAAGGUGAUAUGAACCGUUAUAACCGGCGAUUUCCGAAUGGGGAAACCCAGUGUGAUUCGUCACACUAUCAUUAACUGAAUCCAUAGGUUAAUGAGGCGAACCGGGGGAACUGAAACAUCUAAGUACCCCGAGGAAAAGAAAUCAACCGAGAUUCCCCCAGUAGCGGCGAGCGAACGGGGAGGAGCCCAGAGCCUGAAUCAGUGUGUGUGUUAGUGGAAGCGUCUGGAAAGGCGCGCGAUACAGGGUGACAGCCCCGUACACAAAAAUGCACAUACUGUGAGCUCGAUGAGUAGGGCGGGACACGUGGUAUCCUGUCUGAAUAUGGGGGGACCAUCCUCCAAGGCUAAAUACUCCUGACUGACCGAUAGUGAACCAGUACCGUGAGGGAAAGGCGAAAAGAACCCCGGCGAGGGGAGUGAAAAAGAACCUGAAACCGUGUACGUACAAGCAGUGGGAGCCUCUUUUAUGGGGUGACUGCGUACCUUUUGUAUAAUGGGUCAGCGACUUAUAUUCUGUAGCAAGGUUAACCGAAUAGGGGAGCCGAAGGGAAACCGAGUCUUAACUGGGCGUUAAGUUGCAGGGUAUAGACCCGAAACCCGGUGAUCUAGCCAUGGGCAGGUUGAAGGUUGGGUAACACUAACUGGAGGACCGAACCGACUAAUGUUGAAAAAUUAGCGGAUGACUUGUGGCUGGGGGUGAAAGGCCAAUCAAACCGGGAGAUAGCUGGUUCUCCCCGAAAGCUAUUUAGGUAGCGCCUCGUGAAUUCAUCUCCGGGGGUAGAGCACUGUUUCGGCAAGGGGGUCAUCCCGACUUACCAACCCGAUGCAAACUGCGAAUACCGGAGAAUGUUAUCACGGGAGACACACGGCGGGUGCUAACGUCCGUCGUGAAGAGGGAAACAACCCAGACCGCCAGCUAAGGUCCCAAAGUCAUGGUUAAGUGGGAAACGAUGUGGGAAGGCCCAGACAGCCAGGAUGUUGGCUUAGAAGCAGCCAUCAUUUAAAGAAAGCGUAAUAGCUCACUGGUCGAGUCGGCCUGCGCGGAAGAUGUAACGGGGCUAAACCAUGCACCGAAGCUGCGGCAGCGACGCUUAUGCGUUGUUGGGUAGGGGAGCGUUCUGUAAGCCUGUGAAGGUGUACUGUGAGGUAUGCUGGAGGUAUCAGAAGUGCGAAUGCUGACAUAAGUAACGAUAAAGCGGGUGAAAAGCCCGCUCGCCGGAAGACCAAGGGUUCCUGUCCAACGUUAAUCGGGGCAGGGUGAGUCGACCCCUAAGGCGAGGCCGAAAGGCGUAGUCGAUGGGAAACAGGUUAAUAUUCCUGUACUUGGUGUUACUGCGAAGGGGGGACGGAGAAGGCUAUGUUGGCCGGGCGACGGUUGUCCCGGUUUAAGCGUGUAGGCUGGUUUUCCAGGCAAAUCCGGAAAAUCAAGGCUGAGGCGUGAUGACGAGGCACUACGGUGCUGAAGCAACAAAUGCCCUGCUUCCAGGAAAAGCCUCUAAGCAUCAGGUAACAUCAAAUCGUACCCCAAACCGACACAGGUGGUCAGGUAGAGAAUACCAAGGCGCUUGAGAGAACUCGGGUGAAGGAACUAGGCAAAAUGGUGCCGUAACUUCGGGAGAAGGCACGCUGAUAUGUAGGUGAAGCGACUUGCUCGUGGAGCUGAAAUCAGUCGAAGAUACCAGCUGGCUGCAACUGUUUAUUAAAAACACAGCACUGUGCAAACACGAAAGUGGACGUAUACGGUGUGACGCCUGCCCGGUGCCGGAAGGUUAAUUGAUGGGGUUAGCGGUAACGCGAAGCUCUUGAUCGAAGCCCCGGUAAACGGCGGCCGUAACUAUAACGGUCCUAAGGUAGCGAAAUUCCUUGUCGGGUAAGUUCCGACCUGCACGAAUGGCGUAAUGAUGGCCAGGCUGUCUCCACCCGAGACUCAGUGAAAUUGAACUCGCUGUGAAGAUGCAGUGUACCCGCGGCAAGACGGAAAGACCCCGUGAACCUUUACUAUAGCUUGACACUGAACAUUGAGCCUUGAUGUGUAGGAUAGGUGGGAGGCUUUGAAGUGUGGACGCCAGUCUGCAUGGAGCCGGCCUUGAAUACCACCCUUUAAUGUUUGAUGUUCUAACGUUGGCCCCUGACCGGGGUUGCGGACAGUGUCUGGUGGGUAGUUUGACUGGGGCGGUCUCCUCCUAAAGAGUAACGGAGGAGCACGAAGGUUGGCUAAUCCUGGUCGGACAUCAGGAGGUUAGUGCAAUGGCAUAAGCCAGCUUGACUGCGAGCGUGACGGCGCGAGCAGGUGCGAAAGCAGGUCAUAGUGAUCCGGUGGUUCUGAAUGGAAGGGCCAUCGCUCAACGGAUAAAAGGUACUCCGGGGAUAACAGGCUGAUACCGCCCAAGAGUUCAUAUCGACGGCGGUGUUUGGCACCUCGAUGUCGGCUCAUCACAUCCUGGGGCUGAAGUAGGUCCCAAGGGUAUGGCUGUUCGCCAUUUAAAGUGGUACGCGAGCUGGGUUUAGAACGUCGUGAGACAGUUCGGUCCCUAUCUGCCGUGGGCGCUGGAGAACUGAGGGGGGCUGCUCCUAGUACGAGAGGACCGGAGUGGACGCAUCACUGGUGUUCGGGUUGUCAUGCCAAUGGCACUGCCCGGUAGCUAAAUGCGGAAGAGAUAAGUGCUGAAAGCAUCUAAGCACGAAACUUGCCCCGAGAUGAGUUCUCCCUGACUCCUUGAGAGUCCUGAAGGAACGUUGAAGACGACGACGUUGAUAGGCCGGGUGUGUAAGCGCAGCGAUGCGUUGAGCUAACCGGUACUAAUGAACCGUGAGGCUUAACCUUACAACGCCGAAG
Molecule: ribosomal RNA, 2926 nt
Filed under: Escherichia coli
Lineage: Bacteria; Pseudomonadati; Pseudomonadota; Gammaproteobacteria; Enterobacterales; Enterobacteriaceae
Description: 23S ribosomal RNA
Rfam family: Bacterial large subunit ribosomal RNA
Source: RNAcentral